This 492-nucleotide ribosomal RNA is filed under the name uncultured bacterium. RNAcentral's name for it is "partial 16S ribosomal RNA". It matches the Rfam family "Bacterial small subunit ribosomal RNA", at positions 29 to 507 of the family's 1533-position model. The record is from RNAcentral.
AGUGAACGCUGGCGGUAGGCCUAACACAUGCAAGUCGAACGGCAGCACAGUAAGAGCUUGCUCUUACGGGUGGCGAGUGGCGGACGGGUGAGGAAUACAUCGGAAUCUACUUUUUCGUGGGGGAUAACGUAGGGAAACUUACGCUAAUACCGCAUACGACCUACGGGUGAAAGCAGGGGAUCUUCGGACCUUGCGCGAUUGAAUGAGCCGAUGUCGGAUUAGCUAGUUGGCGGGGUAAAGGCCCACCAAGGCGACGAUCCGUAGCUGGUCUGAGAGGAUGCACAGCCACACGGGAACUGAGACGCGGUCCAGACUCCUCCGGGAGGCAGCAGUGGGGAAUAUUGGACAAUGGGCGCAAGCCUGAUCCAGCCAUACCGCGUGGGUGAAGAAGGCCUUCUGGUUGUAAAGCCCUUUUGUUGGGAAAGAAAAGAAGCAGGUUAAUACCCCGCUGUUCUGACGGUACCCAAAGAAUAAGCACCGGCUAACUUCGUG